UGUCCCAAAUCUCACCCACUUGACCAAAACCUCAACCAGUUUUGCCCCAAACCCCCACCGUUCUCCUCUCAUCUCCAUCCAUUUCGCCACAACCCUUCACUCUCUGCACCAAACCAGAGCCUUCAACGGACCCCCAAACUCUACCCUGAGCCAUGGACCCUGUCCCAGGACGUGUCCUGCCAGGGCUCCGGCUUCACCUUCAGCAGCGUCGGCAUGGACUGGGUGCGACAGGCGCCCGGGAAGGGGCUCGAGUUCGUUGCGCGUAUUGGCAACGAUGGUCGUACCACAGCCUACGCGCUGUCGGUGCAGGGGCGCUUCACCAUCUCCAGGGACAACUCCCAGAGCACGCUCACGCUGCAGAUGAACAGCCUCCGGGACGACGACACGGCCACCUACUACUGCGCGAAAGCUGCUGCUGGUGGCGGCUCUGAGCCGGCGUCUGCUCAGGAAACGCGCCGGCGAGCCGCGUCCCCGCCGGGGACAGGAGGCAGCGAUGCCUGGCAGCCCCCGGCCCUCUGGGACGGCUCCAGCCGCUGCCUCUGCCUGCCCCGAGCCCGCGCCCCGGCACCGACCCCAACAUCCCUGCCCUCUUGA
This is a non-coding RNA of Chroicocephalus ridibundus (black-headed gull), 594 nucleotides long. Lineage: Eukaryota; Metazoa; Chordata; Aves; Charadriiformes; Laridae. The record is from the annotation of a RefSeq genome assembly.